Molecule: ribosomal RNA, 468 nt
Filed under: uncultured bacterium
Lineage: Bacteria
Description: partial 16S ribosomal RNA
Rfam family: Bacterial small subunit ribosomal RNA
Source: RNAcentral
GACGAACGCUGGCGGCGUGCUUAACGCAUGCAAGUCGAACGGAAAGGCCCUGCUUUUGUGGGGUGCUCGAGUGGCGAACGGGUGAGUAACACGUGAGUAACCUGCCCUUGACUUUGGGAUAACUUCAGGAGACUGGGGCUAAUACCGGAUAGGAGCUCCUGCUGCAUGGCGGGGGUUGGAAAGUUUCGGCGGUUGGGGAUGGACUCGCGGCUUAUCAGCUUGUUGGUGGGGUAGUGGCUUACCAAGGCUUUGACGGGUAGCCGGCCUGAGAGGGUGACCGGCCACAUUGGGACUGAGAUACGGCCCAGACUCCUACGGGAGGCAGCAGUGGGGAAUAUUGCACAAUGGGCGGAAGCCUGAUGCAGCAACGCCGCGUGCGGGAUGACGGCCUUCGGGUUGUAAACCGCUUUCGCCUGUGACGAAGCGUGAGUGACGGUAAUGGGUAAAGAAGCACCGGCUAACUACGUG